AUGGGGCGGAGCCGAUCAUCCCAACGCCGAGAAAUCGUGUCAAACGGCAGACACGCUCGUUUGCCACAACCUCGUCCGCGAUUAAUAAACAAGCUUGAGGAUUCAGAUGGAGCAUUGUUAUGCCUAAUAGCAGGAACCUGCACACUGGCCAGCAGCGUCGGCAAUUUCCAAUUGUUUUCAUUAAGUGAGCAUGGUCUUACCAACAAAGAAUACUAUGAGUUGGUAACUGGCACAAUGGAGGUUGCUAUUUGCUACCCUUAUAUAUUUCUGAAAUUGCAUGAGUUCGUGCCCAAUCUCCUUCCGACGACGGCUGCACUGGCGCCAUUGAAGUCGUGGCUCGCGUGCCGUCCUAACGUCCGGAUUUUCAGAGACACAGCCGUUCUUGUGAUUAUAUCUUAUCUGCUAUUACUGGGCAUCAACUUGAGCUUCGCUUGGCUCGCCAUCUUUCCAGUCAUGGCCAUUGUUUUCAUACGAGCGUUGUACUUGAAACUUAAUCGCCGUAGAGUAACACCAAGAUCUUCUAACGUCGAUGAGAAGUUCGUCAAGACACCUGUGGAGCUUCAGAUUAUGGUGGUGGCGACAUUCGGGGCGCUCUUGGUGAUGGAUCAACUCGACGACGAUGCAGCUGUGGGGUUCUCCAUCUCCCAAUUCCUCCUGUUCCUGAGCUCCAUGGUGGCGGCACUGACGCGAAUGAUGAUGAAGCUGCCCGCUGACCCUUUCCCGGGCAGCGCACCUGCGUCAGAGUUGCUCCACAAGACCUUGCUUAUCCUCCUGCUGGUGACGGUGCACACGGUGGCCGUGGAGUGGCUGGGCGAGGACGUGGUUCUGUUCUGCAUGCCGGAGGUCGCCCCGGUGCUUCUCUGGUUCAUCCUUCACCUUGACCGCCCACGCCACAGCCCGCUCAUCAGCGUCGACAAGAUGAAGCCAUACAUGAAAGAGAUCAUCGCCCUGUGUGCACUGGUGGCAGCUCCUCUUUUCGCAUACCUGGUGAACUCCAUGGAUGUUUCUGGGCUCUCCUGGUGCACGAGGAUAAUGGUGUCAUGUGGCGUCUCAGGGGUUCUGACCUACUACCUGGUGUUCAUGCUACACCACUGGACAUGGCCGGGGCGAAAACAAGCUGGCAGAAGCAAGGAUGAUGUGCCUUCCUCCGGCAUGCUCAAGUUUUGGGCAGAGGCUUUACUCGUGGCGGCUGCAUUGCUGCUGGUGCUAAGGUAUCUGGUUUCUGUCCGGCUUGGUCUACAACAAUCACUGGUUGGUACACUCUGUCGAAAUGUGCAGCGACUAUGA
Molecule: ribosomal RNA, 1287 nt
Filed under: Triticum aestivum (bread wheat)
Lineage: Eukaryota; Viridiplantae; Streptophyta; Magnoliopsida; Poales; Poaceae
Description: partial small subunit ribosomal RNA
Source: RNAcentral